RNAcentral lists this long non-coding RNA (592 nucleotides) under Manihot esculenta (cassava). Its description in RNAcentral is "long non-coding RNA (MESC_LNC001038)". The record is from RNAcentral. Lineage: Eukaryota; Viridiplantae; Streptophyta; Magnoliopsida; Malpighiales; Euphorbiaceae.
UUCAUGAUGUUAUAGGGGGUUUUUGGGGAGUAUAUUAGAGUUAUGUUUAUGUAUGUUUGGUCCCUCAUUGGAGUCCACCUGUGUAGGUUCGGACCCGAGGAACCGAGGACCCCAGCAGUGAGCCAGCUGCUACAGAGUUUGUCAGAGCUAGCCAGAGGUGAGUGGAACAAACUUUAAGUUUUAAAAUAAACGAAAUAUGAAUUUUGAGCAUGAUCCAUGCAUCAUGAAUGCCAUGAGAUAUAGUAGGUUGCUUGCAUUAGUAUUCACGAAUAUGUUGCAUUGCAUUUAUGAUGUUGAUGUGGAUUGGUCAUUGGAUGAUCCUUUAGUCCUCAUAUGAUAUGAUGAUGUUAUGGCACGAUAUAAGAGGAAGUCCAGGUUGUACCCAUUCUACGUCCCUGGCACGAUGUAAGAGGAAGUCCAGGUUGUACCCAUUCUACGUCCCUGGCACAGUUGGACUGUAUGAUAUGUUAUGUUAAGGGAAAGACCGGUUGUACCCAUUCUACGUCCCGGCACAGUUGGACUAUGUAGAGGAUUAUUGGUGACAAUACCAUCCGAGAUGUGAUUUGUUGUGAUGUGUUGCAUUACAUAAUGA